ACCUGCGGAAGGAUCAUUGUCGUGACCCUGACCAAAAGAGACUGUGAACAUGUCAUCUAAGCCACCGAGUGAUUUGACUUGCUCCCAUUGCUCGGUACUGGCCACUGACCUUGCAUAGGAUAGUGGCUGGAAAACAACCCACGGCGCCACAUGGCGCCAAGGAAAACUAAUAUUGCUUGCUUAGGGGCAACGUCAAACUUGCCGGAUGUACCCUAUGCUGCGAUGCUUUGAUAAUCCACAUGACUCUCAGCAACGGAUAUCUAGGCUCUUGCAUCGAUGAAGAACGUAGCAAAAUGCGAUACCUGAUGUGAAUUGCAGAAUCCCGUGAACCAUCAAGUUUUUGAACGCAAGUUGCGCCUAAGGCCUUUUGGCCGAGGGCACGUCUGCCUGGGCGUCACGUCAAAAGACACUCCCCAUCCUCUCUGGUGUGGAUGUGGAAUUUGGCCCAUCGUGCCACAGAGCUCGGUGAGCCAAAGUUAGGGUUGCCGGCGGUGCCAAUCGCAGCACAUGGUGGAUGACUCAGGUCUUUCUCAGUGCCAUGCUGUGGAUUGAUACCGGGGUUAAAUGGCCCUUUGGACCCAUACACUGAAGAAUAAUUUGCUCAUACCGCGACCCCAGGUCAGUCGGGAUUACCCGCUGAAUUUAAGCAUAUCAAUAAGCGG
RNAcentral lists this ribosomal RNA (662 nucleotides) under Dinebra haareri. RNAcentral describes it as "eukaryotic LSU rRNA". The stretch from base 242 to 397 matches the Rfam family "5.8S ribosomal RNA". The record is from RNAcentral. Lineage: Eukaryota; Viridiplantae; Streptophyta; Magnoliopsida; Poales; Poaceae.